GACAGAGGGUGCAAACGUUGUUCGGAAUUACUGGGCGUAAAGCGCGUGUAGGCGGCCCUGCAAGUCGGGUGUGAAAUCCCAUGGCUCAACUAUGGAAGUGCAUUCGAAACUGCAGGGCUAGAGUCCUGGAGAGGAAGGUGGAAUGCUUGGUGUAGAGGUGAAAUUCGUAGAUAUCAAGAGGAACACCAAUGGCGAAGGCAGCUCGCUGGGACGUGACUGACGCUGAGACGCGAAAGCGUGGGGAGCAAACAGG
This 253-nucleotide ribosomal RNA is filed under the name uncultured bacterium. RNAcentral's name for it is "partial 16S ribosomal RNA". It matches the Rfam family "Bacterial small subunit ribosomal RNA", at positions 524 to 776 of the family's 1533-position model. The record is from RNAcentral.